ACAAGCGGAGGAGCAUGUGGUUUAAUUCGAUGAUACGCGAGGAACCUUACCUGGGCUCAAAUGUAUGUUGACGUAUUCUGAAAGGGAUACUUCUUCGGACAAUAUACAAGGUGCUGCAUGGUUGUCGUCAGCUCGUGCCGUGAGGUGUCGGGUUAAGUCCCAUAACGAGCGCAACCCCUAUCAUUAGUUGCCAUCAGGUCAAGCUGGGGACUCUAAUGAAACUGCCUACGCAAGUAGUGAGGAAGGCGGGGAUGACGUCAAAUCAGCACGGCCCUUACGUCCAGGGCUACACACGUGCUACAAUGGCCGAUACAGAGGGCAGCUACCUGGUGACAGGAUGCAAAUCUCCAAAGUCGGUCUCAGUUCGGAUCGGAGUCUGCAACCCGACUCCGUGAAGUUGGAUUCGCUAGUAAUCGCGCAUCAGCCAUGGCGCGGUGAAUACGUUCCCGGGCCUU
RNAcentral lists this ribosomal RNA (455 nucleotides) under uncultured Sphingobacteriales bacterium. Its description in RNAcentral is "bacterial SSU rRNA". It matches the Rfam family "Bacterial small subunit ribosomal RNA", at positions 925 to 1382 of the family's 1533-position model. The record is from RNAcentral. Lineage: Bacteria; Pseudomonadati; Bacteroidota; Sphingobacteriia; Sphingobacteriales.